UACGGAGGGUGCAAGCGUUAUCCGGAUUUAUUGGGUUUAAAGGGUCCGUAGGCGGACUCGUAAGUCAGUGGUGAAAUCUCAUAGCUUAACUAUGAAACUGCCAUUGAUACUGCGGGUCUUGAGUAAGGUAGAGGUAGCUGGAAUAAGUAGUGUAGCGGUGAAAUGCAUAGAUAUUACUUAGAACACCAAUUGCGAAGGCAGGUUACCAUGUCUUAACUGACGCUGAUGGACGAAAGCGUGGGGAGCAAACAGG
This 253-nucleotide ribosomal RNA is filed under the name uncultured bacterium. RNAcentral's name for it is "partial 16S ribosomal RNA". It matches the Rfam family "Bacterial small subunit ribosomal RNA", at positions 524 to 776 of the family's 1533-position model. The record is from RNAcentral.